GGAGGUAAAAGUCGUAACAAGGUUUCCGUAGGUGAACCUGCGGAAGGAUCAUUAUUGUAUAACCGAGGUGCGAGGGCUGUCGCUGACCCGAAAGGUCGUGCACGCCCGAGUGCCCUCACACACAUCCACCUCACCCCUAUGUGCACCACCGCGUGGGUCCCCCUUUGGCUUGUUCGGAGGGGGGCUUACGUUUUCACACAAACUUUGUAUGCAGUGUAGAAUGUAUUUUUUGUUUUUGCGAUCACGCAAUCAAUACAACUUUCAACAACGGAUCUCUUGGCUCUC
RNAcentral lists this unclassified non-coding RNA (285 nucleotides) under plant metagenome. RNAcentral's name for it is "partial contains small subunit ribosomal RNA, internal transcribed spacer 1, and 5.8S ribosomal RNA". The stretch from base 1 to 54 matches the Rfam family "Eukaryotic small subunit ribosomal RNA", at positions 1778 to 1831 of the family's 1831-position model. The record is from RNAcentral.